GGAGUCGACCAGACAGUCGCGAUGCUGCUUCGGCGGCAUGGAGGAAAGUCCGGGCACCACAGGGCAGGGCGCCAGGUAACGCCUGGGGGGUGUGAGCCUACGGAAAGUGCAACAGAGAGCAGACCGCCUAAGCGUCACUUCGGUGACGACGGUAAGGGUGAAACGGUGAGGUAAGAGCUCACCGCGCCGGUGGCAACACACGGCGGCACGGUAAACCCCGCUCGGUGCAAGACCAAAUAGGGGGACGUUGGUGCGGCCCGCAUUGUCCCCGGGUAGGUCGCUUGAGGUGCGUGGUGACACGUUGCCCAGAUGAAUGACUGUCCACGACAGAACCCGGCUUAUCGGUCGGCUCCCGCU
RNAcentral lists this RNase P RNA (357 nucleotides) under Gammaproteobacteria bacterium. Its description in RNAcentral is "RNase P RNA component class A". It matches the Rfam family "Bacterial RNase P class A". From Rfam's summary of the family: Ribonuclease P (RNase P) is a ubiquitous endoribonuclease, found in archaea, bacteria and eukarya as well as chloroplasts and mitochondria. Its best characterised activity is the generation of mature 5'-ends of tRNAs by cleaving the 5'-leader elements of precursor-tRNAs. Lineage: Bacteria; Pseudomonadati; Pseudomonadota; Gammaproteobacteria. The record is from RNAcentral.